AGUGAACGCUGGCGGUAGGCCUAACACAUGCAAGUCGAACGGCAGCACAGGAGAGCUUGCUCUCUGGGUGGCGAGUGGCGGACGGGUGAGGAAUACAUCGGAUUCUGCCCAGUCGUGGGGGAUAACGUAGGGAAACUUACGCUAAUACCGCAUACGACCUUCGGGUGAAAGAGGGGGAUCGCAAGACCUCUCGCGAUUGGAUGAGCCGAUGUCGGAUUAGCUAGUUGGCGGGGUAAUGGCCCACCAAGGCGACGAUCCGUAGCUGGUCUGAGAGGAUGAUCAGCCACACUGGAACUGAGACACGGUCCAGACUCCUACGGGAGGCAGCAGUGGGGAAUAUUGGACAAUGGGCGCAAGCCUGAUCCAGCCAUACCGCGUGGGUGAAGAAGGCCUUCGGGUUGUAAAGCCCUUUUGUUGGGAAAGAAAUCUUUCAGGCUAAUACCCUGGGAGGAUGACGGUACCCAAAGAAUAAGCACCGGCUAACUUCGUG
RNAcentral lists this ribosomal RNA (490 nucleotides) under uncultured bacterium. RNAcentral's name for it is "partial 16S ribosomal RNA". It matches the Rfam family "Bacterial small subunit ribosomal RNA", at positions 29 to 507 of the family's 1533-position model. The record is from RNAcentral.